RNAcentral lists this ribosomal RNA (272 nucleotides) under Ambispora leptoticha. RNAcentral describes it as "partial large subunit ribosomal RNA". Lineage: Eukaryota; Fungi; Glomeromycota; Glomeromycetes; Archaeosporales; Ambisporaceae. The record is from RNAcentral.
UUUACCGUGACGCUACACCCCGUGUCCACGAAUCGUUCUCAACACCAGCACGCUGUUGCCAAGACGAUCACGAACAAGGGCCAGGCACUUAGCCUAAAAGGCUCCCGCUGCAAUCCUCAAUCCCACGCGUCGCAUUGACCGCUGGCUAUAACACUCCGAAAGGAGUCACAUUCCGACGGACUUUUUACAACGUGCGAAAUUGAUGCUAACCUGCCUUGCGAGAAAGUGCACUUCCAGUAAUCCCGAAAGCUGAUUUCCCGCCAGCACGACUG